UGGGAUACAAGGUGGCUCUCUCC
RNAcentral lists this non-coding RNA (23 nucleotides) under Mus musculus (house mouse). The record is from RNAcentral. Lineage: Eukaryota; Metazoa; Chordata; Mammalia; Rodentia; Muridae.